AUUUGGUAGAAAACCUAUCAUUCAUUAACUUGAAAUAAAGAGAACCUUGUACACAAGACCCUUCAAUGAAUCGAUGACUAUUCACAAUAUAACUAACUGCUACUCACUAACAUGCAUGCAACAAUCCCUUAGAAAGUUGCAUUUGACCGACCCUAAAUAGAACAUAAUGGAGGAGACCAACUAAUCUCUCCAUCUGAAUAGAGACCACUUCUAACAACGUUAUUGGGACUCU
This 232-nucleotide long non-coding RNA is filed under the name Elaeis guineensis (African oil palm). RNAcentral describes it as "long non-coding RNA (EGUI_LNC024015)". The record is from RNAcentral. Lineage: Eukaryota; Viridiplantae; Streptophyta; Magnoliopsida; Arecales; Arecaceae.